Apis florea (little honeybee) is the source of this 749-nucleotide long non-coding RNA. RefSeq lists it as uncharacterized. The record is from RefSeq and is a predicted model, not a curated record. NCBI's taxonomy places the organism in Eukaryota, Metazoa, Arthropoda, Insecta, Hymenoptera, Apidae.
UAUUUAAGAUAAUUCGUUAUAGCCUAUUUUUAAUAAAUAUAAAUCGUAUAUGAGAAACGAUGAAAAUUCGCAACAUACUACGUAUGAGUAAGCGUUUUAUCACGACCUCUGUCACAAAAGCAACUCUUUCUCUGUAAAGAUUACCUUGAAAACACCUGUAAAAUUGUUCUGUAAUGCAUGCUUAUGCAGUUUGUUCACGUGAAAGAAAUAGUAUAUAAGUACUUACCAUUGAAAGAAAGACUACUUAUUCAUCACACUCACACAUUGAUUAAAGUAAUAUUAUUUAUUAUCUUUAACUCAGAUUAAACAAAGUUAAAAAGUGCAGUUAAAAAAUAUUCGUAAAGAAGGAAAUGAAUUAGAAUAGAUCAUUUUUCAUAUAUUUCGAGAAUACCGAUUUUCCAAGAAAAAUUAUUUUAACGUUUUUAAGAUUGUAAAAUGUCAGUUUUCAAACUUCAUAUUUAUUAUUUAAUAUAUAUAAUAAAUUAUUAAAAUUAUGAGUUUACAUAUACUAUCAUUUAUUUACAAAAUAUAUUCAUAUAUGUAAAUAUCAUUUCUUUCUUGAAAGACAACAACAUAUAUUUUGCAUUAUAUGGACCGUAUAAUAUAAUGGUAAUAUUGAAUAAUGAUAUUGACAAAGAAAAUAAAAUCGAUAUUAUAAUUAAUCUCUUUGUGUUACGGACUUUGUAACAUACAUUCGAAUUAUGAUUGCGAGAUGUACAUUACUCAUCCAUGAAUAAAUAUAUAUAUAU